AUUAUAUGUAGGGACGAUCGUUGAACAGAGUUGAAUACGAGAAUACUUGCUGGUGUUUACUGACCCAUAAAUAUCGUCGAACCGACCGCGAACACGAAAAUAACGAUUGGGAUCGGUCCGCAUAUAUCGCGUACAUUAUCGCGUCGACUAGUUACUUUUUCACAGCGUAAAUUGUGCACAGUGUCAAAUUGCGUUUUUAUCGGUUUUGUCGGCUGCUCCGAAUAUUAUACGCGUU
Cinara cedri is the source of this 235-nucleotide non-coding RNA. The record is from the annotation of a GenBank genome assembly. NCBI's taxonomy places the organism in Eukaryota, Metazoa, Arthropoda, Insecta, Hemiptera, Aphididae.